AUUGAACGCUGGCGGCAGGCCUAACACAUGCAAGUCGAACGAGUGGCGGACGGGUGAGUAAUGUCUGGGACACUGCCUGAGGGGGGGGGAAAACUACUGGACACGGUCGCUAAUACCGCAUACCCUCGGAUGUGCCCAGAUGGGAUUAGCUAGUAGGUGGGGUAAAGGCUCACCUAGGCGACGAUCCCUAGCUGGUCUGAGAGGAUGAUCAGCCACACUGGAACUGAGACACGGUCCAGACUCCUACGGGAGGCAGCAGUGGGGAAUAUUGCACAAUGGGCGCAAGCCUGAUGCAGCCAUGCCGCGUGUAUGAAGAAGGCCUUCGGGUUGUAAAGUACUUUCAGCGGGGAGGCGUUACCGGCAGAAGAAGCACCGGCUAACUCCGUGCCAGCAGCCGCGGUAAUUC
This 406-nucleotide ribosomal RNA is filed under the name uncultured bacterium. RNAcentral describes it as "partial 16S ribosomal RNA". It matches the Rfam family "Bacterial small subunit ribosomal RNA", at positions 30 to 526 of the family's 1533-position model. The record is from RNAcentral.